CUAGCUUAAGUAACAUCAGCCAGUUUUAACGAAAUUUCAUCUAUCAUUUACAUUUUUUUUAUGGUUGUGUUGUUUAGCGUUUGCGUUUACAGUGAAUCUUAUUAAUUCCAGGUUAUGUUUCAUAAAACUUUUGAAUUCAUGAGGGAAACAUGUCUUUUACCAACAUUAAAAUGAUUCAGAUUUACAUAUUGUAAUAUAAUCGGCAUUCUUAUAAUAGUUUAUUUAAUACAAGAAGAUGAAAUUAGUUAAACCUAACUGGGUCACACACGAUGGAUAUUCAAUAUUUUCCGUUGACAUACAUCCUGAUGGGAAAAGAUUUGCUACUGGAGGUCAAGGUGGUGAUUCUGGAAGAGUUGUUAUAUGGAAUAUGGAACCUGUAGUGAAUGAAGCUGCUGAAUUGGAUCAAAAUGUACCAAAAAUAUUAUGUCAACUAGAUAAUCAUCUUGCAUGUGUAAAUUGUGUCAGAUGGAGUAAUAAUGGUUUAUUAGCAUCUGGUGGUGUAGACAAACUUAUUAUGAUAUGGAGACUAUCCGGUGGUUCUGGUGGAAGUACUAUAUUUGGAGGAAAAGCAAGUGUAGAAACUUGGCGAUGUAUAGCUACGUUACGGUCUCAUGAAGCCGAUGUUUUAGAUCUUGCAUGGGCUCCACAUAGUCCAUGGCUGGCUUCAGCUUCUGUAGAUAAUAGUGUAAUUGUAUGGGAUGCAUCCAAAUUUCCUGCUAUUGUAGCUGUUUUAAAAGGUCAUACAGGCUUCGUGAAAGGCAUUACUUGGGAUCCAGUUGGAAAAUACUUAGCAUCACAAUCUGAUGACAAAACAUUGAGAGUAUGGCGUACUACAGACUGGACAGAAGAGGCUUUAAUUUCUGAGCCAUUUGAUGAGUGUGGUGGAACAACCCAUGUUUUGAGAUUAUCCUGGAGUCCAGAUGGACAAUACUUGGUAUCGGCACAUGCGAUGAACGGUGGUGGACCUACAGCACAAAUAAUUGAAAGAGAUGGAUGGACGCAAGAUAAGGAUUUUGUUGGUCAUAGGAAAGCAGUUACUUGUGUCAGAUUUAAUGGAAAUAUUUUACAAAAGAAACAGUCAGGUUCUUCUAAACCGCAACAAUAUUGUUGUGUUGCUAUAGGUUCUCGUGAUCGUUCUUUAUCGGUAUGGCUAACGUCUCUUAAAAGGCCUUUAGUUGUGAUACGUGAAUUAUUUACCCAUUCUGUUUUGGACGCAAGUUGGUCUCCUUGUGGUCUCAGACUUGCAGCUUGUUCUUGGGAUGGUUCUGUUGUAUUCAUUGAAUUUACUCAACAAGAACUUGGACAGCCCUUAGAUCCUGCUGAACAAAGUAGUCUUCAUGAACGUUUAUAUGGGAAACCAUUAGUUCAAGGAGGUUGUAUGGUCAUGGAAGCUCCUGAACUUUUGAAUUUGAAACCACCAGCACCUCCUAGCCAACAGCAAAUUCCAUCUACAACAAAUUCAGUUCCAGUGCCUUUAAAUACUUCAAAUACACCAGCUAAAGGUCCCAUUAACAAACAGAUUGAAACUAGAACAUCUGAUGGUAAAAGAAGAAUUACUCCUAUGUUCAUACCACCACCACCUGAUAUAAUGGAUACAGCAAUAAAUGGUGGAACUACAGUACCAACAUUUACAAGCAAAUCGCAAACAAAAAGUUCGAUUGUAAUAGAAAAACGUAACGAUGUCGUUACACCUAAUGUUACCUCUUCUGUGAAUUCUGCUAUCAUAAAUACACCAGCUUCAUCACUUACUUUAAAACGACGAGAACAAAGCAGUCCAAAAUUACACCAUUUGUCACCAAAUAAAAAAUUAAAAAUUUUGUCUGAAAAAGGUGCAGGCCAAAUCGUUCUUCCUGCAUUGAAACCGUCCAAUUCAUUAUCUCAACAAGCUGGACAUCAUGCAGUUACAAUCAGUAAUAGUCAGGGUUUAGCUCAUUUACAAGUAUUUAGAGGUACAGAUUCAGAACCAACAUGGGAUCUUUAUUUGGGUUAUAAUGCCGUGGCACUUGCUGCCUCUUCAGCUGUUAUAGCUGUUGGUUUAGAAGAUGGUAGUCUACAUACUUUUCAUCCAGUCAAAGGAUCUCGAUUUGCACCUCCGUUAGCACCACCUGCACCAUUAGCAAAAAUUCAUGCUGUUGGUAAUGCGGUUAUGGUUAUAUCAACCUGCGGUGAUGUACGAGUAUGGGAAAUAGGAAAUACAUGCAGAAUGAUAGUAUCAACCUCAGCUGCUCAUUUAGCAGCACCAGGAACAUCAAUAUUGUCAUGUACACUUUAUAAUGGAAUGCCACAUUUAGCAUUUACUAAUGCAAGGGCAUAUAUUUAUCACAAAGAAAUGGGAACAUGGUUGUUAAUUGGAGAUAGUCAUGAUCCUGUAUGGCGGUGGUCUUCAUUUAAUGCAUUAAGUUCAUCUGGUAGUAGAACUCCUCGAGGACCUUUGUUUUCCCUACAGGAAGGUUUACUAAGAACUGCUGGAAAUGUUUUGCCUAAUCCUCGAUUGGCACAUACUGCUCCUAGUAUAGUGUCUUAUAUGGAACAACAGUUAUCAGCAUCUAAAGCACUUGGCAGUGCACAAGAAUAUGUUCAUUGGAUAAUGGCAUUAGUAUCAUUUUUAUUAACUCAAGAUGGGUUGGAGAAGCGUUUAAGAUUAAUCUUAGAUGAUCUUUUGGGUCCAAGUCAUACAUCAGCAUCUAAAAGUUCAUCAUGGGAUCCUAUGAUUCUAGGUAUAAAAAAGCACAAACUUUUGGGAGAUAUAUUGAAUAUUGUUGGUGGGCAUCUUCGUUGGCAAAGGCUAUUUCUUGAGUAUACAGAACAAUUAAUGGCAUUAAAAAAUCAGAGUACAUAAAAGCGGCGGUCCAUUUGGAUGAUAGACCAUUAGAGUGAAACUUCGAGCAAGAUUGUUAGAGAGCAUGCAAUUGUAAUCUUCUUCUGUUGACGGUAUCAAUGAAGUUACACCAAGUAGCAACAGCAUUAAUGCUUGUAUUGGAAGAGAAACACGCAAAACUCUUCCUAGAAAACUAUAUCCUUGUCUUGGUACUAUUUGAUGUCUUUCAUCACCACUGUAACAAUUACAGUAAAAACAAAGAUUAUUUUUCAUCUAAAACACAAGUUGAUGAACAGAAGUAUUUUAUAUGGAAAAAUGGCAAUCCAAAAUUAAAUAAACUUGGAUUGAACAGGGAAAAGGAAGAGAACAUACUCUGUGGCAGCUGUUGUGUGUGGCUGAGAGGACCCAGAGGCAGCUUCAUCGAGUAGCUACAAUUGAACAAAAGAAAAAACACAAACAAUAAGAUACUGUGCAAGUGAUUACUACUAUUAUUACAUAUGGCGCACGUGAUAAUGGUAUAAGCCAAUGAGAAAGAACAGGUGCACUUUUUUGUGCUGCAAUGUUUGGUUCCCUUUCAUCGGAUUUCAUUGCUCCCGUGCGCUUUAAUAUGUUUUACGUGAUUCUUUUUUAUAUCGUGCAAUAAUCUACAUACGUUAAAUGACUAAACAUUUAAGAAACAAAAGCAAAGAUCACGUUUCAGCAAGUGACCUAAAAAUAUGCAAUUAAGAAUUGUACUUACAUCGCGAGAAAGAGCGGCUAAUGAGGAGGAUGUAGCAACGAGUCCAAUAUCACGUGGAUCCAAUCCUAAAGCUGCUCCUAAUUUCAAUGAGUAGAUGCCUGUCAGUCGACGUAACGAUUGUAGUUUUAAUCGAAGUUCUUGUAGUCGAGCUCUCACUCCUCCCUGUUCAUUUAGUAGUUGAUUGGCAGAUUCUUGGAGAGAUAAAACACGCGGUUCACAGCGCUCAAGGUCACUUCGUAAUUCCCUUAAAAAAUAAAAAAAAAAAAAAAAAACUAAUAAAAGAAGGGUCAAAACAAAAUUGUAAUAUUUUUUAUGUGGCUACAAUUAUGAGAUCUUUUAUAUGUACAUAAAACAUAUAUAAUAUGUAUUAUAUAAUAUAUAGUAUAUAUAAUAUAAAUUAUAUAUAAUAUAUAUUAUAUAUAAUAUAUAAUAUAUAAUAUAUAUAUCUGCAGAAAAAGAUUGCCUAUUGUAUAGUAUCAUCUCAAUGUAUGAUAAUACCUUAUAUUUAUUUGUAUUUUAUGUAAAAACAGAUCAAUUACAAAAUGGAUUUUCUAAGGAACAUAUUCAUUGUUCCAUAGUUUAUAUAUAUUAAUUUGCAUUACGUCAAAUAUGCAUUUGUUUGCAAAAUAUGUAUUAUUAGAAUUCAAGUUUAAUCAUCAAUGUAUCUAUAUUUGUGUAUUGAUAUACGUUUCAUUUGUAUAUCCAAGUGAU
RNA transcript from Vespa velutina, 4268 nucleotides. It is a transcript of the gene named protein HIRA homolog, with no coding region annotated. The transcript has 13 exons. Lineage: Eukaryota; Metazoa; Arthropoda; Insecta; Hymenoptera; Vespidae. The record is from RefSeq and is a predicted model, not a curated record.